GACGAACGCUGGCGGCGUGCUUAACACAUGCAAGUCGAACGAUGACGACCGAGCUUGCUCGGUCUGAUUAGUGGCGAACGGGUGAGUAACACGUGAGCAACCUGCCCUUCACUCUGGGAUAACCUCGGGAAAUCGGGGCUAAUACCGGAUAUGAGCUCCUGUCGCAUGGCGGGUGUUGGAAAGUUUUUCGGUGAAGGAUGGGCUCGCGGCCUAUCAGUUUGUUGGUGAGGUAGUGGCUCACCAAGGCGAUGACGGGUAGCCGGCCUGAGAGGGCGACCGGCGACACUGGGACUGAGAGACGGCGCAGACUCCUACGGGAGGCAGAAGUGGGGAAUAUUGCACAAUGGGCGAAAGCCUGAUGCAGCGACGCCGCGUGAGGGAUGACGGCCUUCGGGUUGUAAACCUCUUUCAGCAGGGAAGAAGCGAAAGUGACGGUACCUGCAGAAGAAGCGCCGGCUAACUACGUG
Molecule: ribosomal RNA, 467 nt
Filed under: uncultured bacterium
Lineage: Bacteria
Description: partial 16S ribosomal RNA
Rfam family: Bacterial small subunit ribosomal RNA
Source: RNAcentral